RNAcentral lists this ribosomal RNA (110 nucleotides) under Chrysemys picta bellii (western painted turtle). Lineage: Eukaryota; Metazoa; Chordata; Testudines; Emydidae. The record is from RNAcentral.
AUAAAUGUCCUUGGGCUUUGAGCUUAUGAAAAUCUCCUAGGGUAAGCAAGGCUGACACUGGUCAGUACUUGGAUGGGAGACCUCCAAGGAAAUGCCAGGUGCCAUGUGAA